UUAAAGUUUGAUUCUUGCUAUGUUUCUUGCUCCGGGCUUAUAAAAUAUAUUCAAAUUUUGGUGUGACAAGGUUUAAAAAUCUUAAUGAUUUUUGAUGGUUUAAAGUCGCAAUAUAUAAUAUUAAUCAAUCUUGAAUUUAAGGAAUUAAUAAGUUUAGGUCAAUUCUGACUAAAUUUUGUGCCAGCAGUCGCGGUUAGACUUAAGGUGUAGGUGAGAAAAUCUUAGUUUGCAGUUAAGGCGGUAUUUUGUUUAAGGAAAUUGUGGUCUAUUAAAAGGUAAAAUUGAUCUAUUAAAUCUAAUAAUUUUUUGUGAAAAAUAUUCUGAGGCUGUAAAGUUUAGAGUAUAAACUAGGAUUAGAUACCCUACUAUAUCUAAAUUUAAAUAUUAAUGCUAGAAUAUUAAUAGUUAUUUUCUUUAAAAGCAUAGAAUUUGGCGGUAGUUUAGUCUAGUUAGAGGAACCUGUCUCGUAAACGAUAAACCACGAAAUUUCUUACUUAGCGUAGAUAAUAGUUUGUAUACCGCCAUUGAGAGAUAAUUUUUAUAAAAUAAAUUGUUAAAAUGUAGUAAUGCAGUAUAUUAGGUCAAGGUGCAGCUUAUGGCUAAGUGAAUAUGGGUUACAAUAUGAUUUCAUAAACGAAUUGUUUUCAGAAAUGGGAAUAUGAAGGUGGAUUUAAUAGUAAAUUUGUUUUAAUAAGGUAGAUUGAUAUAAGCGCUGAAUUAUGUACAUAUCGCCCGUCGCUCUUAUUAUUAGUAAGAUAAGUCGUAACAUAGUGGGUGUACUGGAAGGUGAACCUAGAAGUAG
Molecule: non-coding RNA, 802 nt
Filed under: Laomedia healyi
Lineage: Eukaryota; Metazoa; Arthropoda; Malacostraca; Decapoda; Laomediidae
Source: RNAcentral